ACCGCACCCCACCGACGCCACACCGACCAAAACCAAAGCAACCCGUUUUGCUCCCCGACUCCCAUCUCUCGAUCUCUCACAAGGGGCAGAUGAUGGAAUUGGAGAAGCAGAGAUGGAGUUCACUAAGGAACUUGAGUUCCAGAGGAUGAAUAUGUUUAUGGAACUAUGGAAUCUCAACUUGAGCUUUGAGAAGGUGAAGAGGGCUAAGAAUUAUGCUCCUUGUUCAGUGAUAUUUUUCAGGGUAAAAUGAAGGCAGCAUCUUGGCCGCAGGAUGAAUCAAAGGCCAAGAAAAAGAUCUUGAUGAAUCUGUGACUUUGAAGACUAUUCAAGUAGACAUGGAAGUGCCAAUACAAGACAGGAUGUGGAAAGCUAUUUUGUAAAGCUGGAUGAUGCAGACAGAGCUUGGGUGUGGCACAAUGGACACAACAACAGUUGAUUCGGUUCCCUCCAUUGUUGGAGUUUGUUGAAGGAAGUUCCGGUGAAACAAAAAAUGAAGUUGGGUGCAGACUGUCCUCAUGUCAAAUUAUUGUAAUGGCUUUUUUGUUUGUCUACAUGUCGAAUUUGUGGACUGUCCACAGUUGAGCAAGUUCAGUUCCCUCCAUUGUUGGAAUAUGAAGUUGUAGUAUGUUCUUUAGGAAUAUCAAUGUAUGGCUUAAUGACGAUACUCAACUUUGUACCCUCCUUUUAGAUGAUAGUUGGGAUGUGAAUGGCCUGACAUGGGCAUAUGGAUGAUAUGUGAAUUUGGAUUGUUGAUGAGUAGGGCGAUGAAGGGCCUAAUGCGGGUUUAUUUGUGAAUUUGAUUGUGAAUGGUAACUUACGAUGAGAAACGCUC
Rhododendron vialii is the source of this 832-nucleotide long non-coding RNA. RefSeq lists it as uncharacterized. The transcript is spliced from 3 exons. NCBI's taxonomy places the organism in Eukaryota, Viridiplantae, Streptophyta, Magnoliopsida, Ericales, Ericaceae. The record is from RefSeq and is a predicted model, not a curated record.